GUAAUCGUGGAUCAGAAUGCCACGGUGAAUACGUUCCCGGGCCUUGUACACACCGCCCGUCACACCAUGGGAGUGGGUUGCAAAAGAAGUAGGUAGCUUAACCUUCGGGAGGGCGCUUACCACUUUGUGAUUCAUGACUGGGGUGAAGUCGUAACAAGGUAACCGUAGGGGAACCUGCGGUUGGAUCACCUCCUUACCUUAAAGAA
Molecule: ribosomal RNA, 206 nt
Filed under: Salmonella enterica subsp. enterica serovar Derby
Lineage: Bacteria; Pseudomonadati; Pseudomonadota; Gammaproteobacteria; Enterobacterales; Enterobacteriaceae
Description: partial 16S ribosomal RNA
Rfam family: Bacterial small subunit ribosomal RNA
Source: RNAcentral